UUCAAGCAAAACUUUAAUUGAAGAGUUUGAUCAUGGCUCAGAUUGAACGCUGGCGGCAGGCCUAACACAUGCAAGUCGAGCGGUAACAUUUCAAAAGCUUGCUUUUGAAGAUGACGAGCGGCGGACGGGUGAG
This 133-nucleotide ribosomal RNA is filed under the name Shewanella algae. RNAcentral's name for it is "partial 16S ribosomal RNA". The stretch from base 15 to 133 matches the Rfam family "Bacterial small subunit ribosomal RNA", at positions 1 to 110 of the family's 1533-position model. Lineage: Bacteria; Pseudomonadati; Pseudomonadota; Gammaproteobacteria; Alteromonadales; Shewanellaceae. The record is from RNAcentral.